GGAAGUAAAAGUCGUAACAAGGUUUCCGUAGGUGAACCUGCGGAAGGAUCAUUAGUGAAUAUAGGACGUCCAACUUAACUUGGAGUCCGAACUCUCACUUUCUAACCCUGUGCAUUUGUUUGGGAUAGUAACUCUCGCAAGAGGGCGAACUCCUAUUCACUUAUAAACACAAAGUCUAUGAAUGUAUUAAAUUUUAUAACAAAAUAAAACUUUCAACAACGGAUCUCUUGGCUCUCGCAUCGAUGAAGAACGCAGCGAAAUGCGAUAAGUAAUGUGAAUUGCAGAAUUCAGUGAAUCAUCGAAUCUUUGAACGCACCUUGCGCUCCAUGGUAUUCCGUGGAGCAUGCCUGUUUGAGUGUCAUGAAUACUUCAACCCUCCUCUUUCUUAAUGAUUGAAGAGGUGUUUGGUUUCUGAGCGCUGCUGGCCUUUAGGGUCUAGCUCGUUCGUAAUGCAUUAGCAUCCGCAAUCGAACUUCGGAUUGACUUGGCGUAAUAGACUAUUCGCUGAGGAAUUCUAGUCUUCGGACUAGAGCCGGGUUGGGUUAAAGGAAGCUUCUAAUCAGAAUGUCUACAUUUUAAGAUUAGACCUCAAAUCAGGUAGGACUACCCGCUGAACUUAAGCAUAUCAAUAAGCGGAGGA
Molecule: ribosomal RNA, 640 nt
Filed under: Antarctic fungal sp. GI903
Lineage: Eukaryota; Fungi
Description: eukaryotic LSU rRNA
Rfam family: 5.8S ribosomal RNA (bases 208-361)
Source: RNAcentral